GAUGAACGCUGGCGGCGUGCCUAAUACAUGCAAGUCGAGCGAACGGACGAGAAGCUUGCUUCUCUGAUGUUAGCGGCGGACGGGUGAGUAACACGUGGAUAACCUACCUAUAAGACUGGGAUAACUUCGGGAAACCGGAGCUAAUACCGGAUAAUAUUUUGAACCGCAUGGUUCAAAAGUGAAAGACGGUCUUGCUGUCACUUAUAGAUGGAUCCGCGCUGCAUUAGCUUGUUGGUAAGGUAACGGCUUACCAAGGCAACGAUGCAUAGCCGACCUGAGAGGGUGGUCGGCCACCCUGGAACUGAGGCACGGCCGAGACUCCGACGGUAGGCAGCAGUAGGGAAUCUUCCGCAAUGGGCGAGAGCCUAACGGAGCAACGCCGCGUGAGUGAUGACGGUCUUCGGAUCGUAAAACUCUGUUAUUAGGGAAGAACAUAUGUGUAAGUAACUGUGCACAUCUUGACGGUACCUAAUCAGAAAGCCACGGCUAACUACGUG
Molecule: ribosomal RNA, 497 nt
Filed under: uncultured bacterium
Lineage: Bacteria
Description: partial 16S ribosomal RNA
Rfam family: Bacterial small subunit ribosomal RNA
Source: RNAcentral